UGGGGAAUAUUGCACAAUGGGGGAAACCCUGAUGCAGCGACGCCGCGUGAGCGAUGAAGGCUUUCGAGUCGUAAAGCUCUGUCCUAUGGGAAGAUAAUGACGGUACCAUAGAAGAAAGCCCCGGCUAAUUACGUGCCAGCAGCCGCGGUAAUACGUAAGGGGCGAGCGUUGUCCGGAAUUAUUGGGCGUAAAGAGUGCGUAGGCGGCAAAUUAAGUCAGAUGUGAAAACUAAGGGCUCAACCCAUAGAUUGCAUCUGAAACUGAUAUGCUUGAGUCAAGGAGAGGAAAGUGGAAUUCCUAGUGUAGCGGUGGAAUACGUAGAUAUUAGGAGGAAUACCGGUGGCGAAGGCGACUUUCUGGACUUGAACUGACGCUGAGGCACGAAAGCGUGGGGAGCAAACAGG
RNAcentral lists this ribosomal RNA (404 nucleotides) under Verrucomicrobiota bacterium. RNAcentral's name for it is "Verrucomicrobia bacterium partial 16S ribosomal RNA". It matches the Rfam family "Bacterial small subunit ribosomal RNA", at positions 355 to 776 of the family's 1533-position model. Lineage: Bacteria; Pseudomonadati; Verrucomicrobiota. The record is from RNAcentral.